RNAcentral lists this ribosomal RNA (260 nucleotides) under uncultured prokaryote. RNAcentral describes it as "partial 16S ribosomal RNA". It matches the Rfam family "Bacterial small subunit ribosomal RNA", at positions 524 to 784 of the family's 1533-position model. The record is from RNAcentral.
UACGGAGGAUCCGAGCGUUAUCCGGAUUUAUUGGGUUUAAAGGGUGCGCAGGCGGAAGAUUAAGUCGGUGGUGAAAUUUUGCAGCUCAACUGUAAAAGUGCCAUUGAUACUGGUUUUCUGAGUGUGGAUGAAGUAGGCGGAAUUUGUGGUGUAGCGGUGAAAUGCAUAGAUAUCAGGAGGAACUCCGAUUGCGCAGGCAGCUUACUAAACUACUACUGACGCUCAGGCACGAAGGCGUGGGGAUCAAACAGGAUUAGAUA